GAUGAACGCUGGCGGCGUGCCUAAUACAUGCAAGUCGAGCGGACAGACGAUGAUCUUGCUCCGUUGACGUGAGCGGCGGACGUGUGAAUAACACGUGUAUACCCUACCUAUAAUACGGGUAUAACUUCGGAAAACCGGAUCUAAUACCGUAGAAUAUAUUGAACCGCGUUGGGCGAUGGUGAAAUACGGUUGUUCUGUCACUUAUAGAUGGAUCUGCGCCGCAUUAGAUAGUUGGUAAGGUAACGGGUUACCAAGGCAACGAUGCGUAGACGAACUGAGAGAGUGAUAGGCCACCCGGGAACUGAGACACGGUCCAGACUACUACGGGACGCAGCAGAAGGGAACGGUCCGCAAUGGGCGAAAGCAUGACGGAGCAACGCGGAGUGAGAGAUGAAGGUCUUGGGAUCGUAAAACUCUGUUAUUAGGGAAGAACAAAUGUGUACGUAAAUAUGCCCGUAUUGACGGUAACUAAUAAGAAAGCCACGGCUAACUACGUG
RNAcentral lists this ribosomal RNA (497 nucleotides) under uncultured bacterium. RNAcentral's name for it is "partial 16S ribosomal RNA". It matches the Rfam family "Bacterial small subunit ribosomal RNA", at positions 28 to 507 of the family's 1533-position model. The record is from RNAcentral.